Molecule: long non-coding RNA, 241 nt
Organism: Fukomys damarensis (Damara mole-rat)
Lineage: Eukaryota; Metazoa; Chordata; Mammalia; Rodentia; Bathyergidae
Exons: 3
Source: RefSeq, a predicted model, not a curated record
CCCGGAUGCUCCAUUACUAUUUGCUGAAUGAAUCAUGAGAGCUGAGAUAUACAAAUCACAUCAAAGACAACUGGGCCUAAGAAUCCCCCUAGAGCUUCAGGACCUGGUAAGCUUUUUCCCAGGCCAGUAGAUGUUACUAUUUCAUUUGGACUGGCUUCAUCUUCUCCAGUGGAUCUUCAGUUAGCUGGGAACACACAGAUGACUGAAAAAGAACCCUCACACCUUUCAUCUUAAAGACAAA